Molecule: ribosomal RNA, 254 nt
Filed under: uncultured Chytridiomycota
Lineage: Eukaryota; Fungi; Chytridiomycota
Description: partial 18S ribosomal RNA
Rfam family: Eukaryotic small subunit ribosomal RNA
Source: RNAcentral
AAGCUCGUAGUUGAAUUUCGGGUUCGGUUGACUGGUCCGCUUCGGCGAGUACUGGUCUGACCGAACUUUUCCUUCUGGGGAAUCAGUGUGCUCUUUAUUGGGUGUGCUGGCGAUCCAGAACUUUUACCUUGAAAAAAUUAGAGUGUUUAAAGCAGGCUUAUGCUUGAAUACAUUAGCAUGGAAUAAUAGAAUAGGACUUUGGUUCUAUUUUGUUGUUUCUAGGACCGAAGUAAUGAUUAAUAGGGAUAGUUGGG